Molecule: ribosomal RNA, 497 nt
Filed under: uncultured bacterium
Lineage: Bacteria
Description: partial 16S ribosomal RNA
Rfam family: Bacterial small subunit ribosomal RNA
Source: RNAcentral
GAUGAACGCUGGCGGCGUGCCUAAUACAUGCAAGUCGAGCGAACAGACGAGGAGCUUGCUCCUCUGACGUUAGCGGCGGACGGGUGAGUAACACGUGGAUAACCUACCUAUAAGACUGGGAUAACUUCGGGAAACCGGAGCUAAUACCGGAUAAUAUAUUGAACCGCAUGGUUCAAUAGUGAAAGACGGUUUUGCUGUCACUUAUAGAUGGAUCCGCGCCGCAUUAGCUAGUUGGUAAGGUAACGGCUUACCAAGGCAACGAUGCGUAGCCGAACUGAGAGGGUGAUCGGCCACACUAGAAGUGAGACGCGGUCCAGACUCCUACGAGAGGCAGCAGUAGGGUAUCUUCCGCAGUAGGCGAGAGCCUGACAGAGCAACGCCACGUGUGUGAUGAAGAUCUUCGGAUCGUAAAACUCUGUUAUUAGGUAUGAACAAAUGUGUAAGUAACUAUGCACGUCUUGACGGUACCUAAUCAGAAAGCCACGGCUAACUACGUG